GAUGAACGCUGGCGGCGUGCCUAAUACAUGCAAGUCGAGCGAAGCGGGGACGGGUGAGUAACACGUGGGAAACCUCCUAUAGGCCUGGGAAAACUUCGGGAAACCUGAGCUAACCCCGUUACUUAUCGAUGGAUCCGCGCUGCAUUAGCUAGUUGCUAAGCUAACGGCUUACCAAGCCUACGAUGCCUAGCCGAACUGAGAGGAGGAUCGGCCACACUGGAACUGAGACACGGUCCAGACUCCUACGGGAGGCAGCAGUAGGGAAUCUUCCGCAAUGGGCGAAAGCCUGACGGAGCAACGCCGCGUGAGUGAUGAAGGUCUUCGGAUCGUAAAACUCUGUUAUUAGGGAAGCGGUACCUAAUCAGAAAGCCACGGCUAACUACGUGCCAGCAGCCGCGGUAAUUC
Molecule: ribosomal RNA, 405 nt
Filed under: uncultured bacterium
Lineage: Bacteria
Description: partial 16S ribosomal RNA
Rfam family: Bacterial small subunit ribosomal RNA
Source: RNAcentral